UCCAGAUUCAACAACGUUGGAU
This 22-nucleotide unclassified non-coding RNA is filed under the name Dictyostelium discoideum. The record is from RNAcentral. Lineage: Eukaryota; Evosea; Eumycetozoa; Dictyosteliales; Dictyosteliaceae.